This 446-nucleotide ribosomal RNA is filed under the name uncultured bacterium. RNAcentral describes it as "bacterial SSU rRNA". It matches the Rfam family "Bacterial small subunit ribosomal RNA", at positions 29 to 514 of the family's 1533-position model. The record is from RNAcentral.
AGCGAACGCUAGCGGCGGGCCUAACACAUGCAAGUCGAGCGCAUACCUUCGGGUAUGAGCGGCGGACGGGUGAGUAACACGUAGGUAACCUACCCUUUGGUGGGGAAUAACCCGGGGAAACUCGGGCUAAUGCCGCACGAGGUCUACGGAUCAAAGCCUUCGGGCGCCAGAGGAUGAGCCUGCGUUGCAUUACCUAGUUGGCGGGGUAACGGCCCACCAAGGGGACGAUGCAUAGCUGGUCUGAGAGGAUGAUCAGCCACACUGGGACUGAGACACGGCCCAGACUCCUACGGGAGGCAGCAGUGGGGAAUAUUGCGCAAUGGGGGAAACCCUGACGCAGCUACGCCGCGUGGGUGAUGAAGGCCUUCGGGUUGUAAAGCCCUGUCGGGAGGGACGAAUUCUGACGGUACCUCCCAAGAAAGCACCGGCUAACUCCGUGCCAGCAG